This 253-nucleotide ribosomal RNA is filed under the name uncultured bacterium. Its description in RNAcentral is "partial 16S ribosomal RNA". It matches the Rfam family "Bacterial small subunit ribosomal RNA", at positions 524 to 776 of the family's 1533-position model. The record is from RNAcentral.
UACGUAUGGUGCAAGCGUUAUCCGGAUUUACUGGGUGUAAAGGGAGCGCAGGCGGCACGGCAAGCCUGAUGUGAAAGCCCGCGGCCCAACCGCGGGACUGCAUUGGGAACUACCGGGCUGGAGUGCCGGAGAGGUAGGCGGAAUUCCUAGUGUAGCGGUGAAGUGCGUAGAUAUUAGGAGGAACACCAGUGGCGAAGGCGGCCUACUGGACGGUGACUGACGCUGAGGCUCGAAAGCGUGGGGAGCAAACAGG